AUUGAACGCUGGCGGCAUGCUUUACACAUGCAAGUCGAACGGCAACAGGCUGCAAGGUUCUUCCUAGUGGCGACCGGUUGCGUACUGCUUCGGAACACGCCCAAACCUGGGUUAUAACUGCUCGUAACGUUAGCUAAUACCCCAUACUACCUCAUACUGCAUGCGGGUGAACGUAAGGCCUCUUCCGAUUUUGCCCGCCGAUGUCAGAUUAGGUAGUUGGUGGGGUAAAGGCUCACCAAGCCCACGAUCUGUAGCUGGUCUGAGAGGACGACCAGCCACACUGGGACUGAGACACGGCCCAGACUCCUACGGGAGGCAGCAGUGGGGAAUUUUGGACAAUGGGCGCAAGCCUGAUCCAGCAAUGCCGCGUGCAGGAAGAAGGCCUUCGGGUUGUAAACUGCUUUUGUACGGAACGAAAAGGAGCUGGUUAAUACCCGGGGGUAAUGACGGUACCGAAAGAAUAAGCACCGGCUAACUACGUG
This 482-nucleotide ribosomal RNA is filed under the name uncultured bacterium. RNAcentral's name for it is "partial 16S ribosomal RNA". It matches the Rfam family "Bacterial small subunit ribosomal RNA", at positions 30 to 507 of the family's 1533-position model. The record is from RNAcentral.